AAAAAGUGAAUGCAAAAGUGCAUAAAUAUUUAUUUUACGUGUUUGAUAUGUGUGGCGGGCGUGGUCUGCAGUGCCGCUGCAGGGGAGGUGGACCCACCUGAGCGGCAUCUGCAAUCACGCCUCUCGGGCGUUGUCUGUGCUCUCUCGGCUGUUUUUGGGUGUGUGUCGGGCUGUGAGUUGAAAAGCUACAGCCGGUUGUGUGGGUACACCAACCAUGUGUGAAAAGUGGUCCAUAACAUAAUGCUUCAAAGCGUGUUCGUGCAAACAUUGUCGGGUCUGCCGUGGUACAAUGGGGACUUCUGCUCAUGAACCUCUGUGCACAGCGUCUGCAAAUCGGGGCUGUACAAAGCAACUUCAUCUUUACACAAAACUGUAAGCUGUCAUCUGUGAAGUGUGAGCGGUGUUUGUUUUUACCAUAGUUCAUGGUGGAGAAUGGCUGCUCUUCUGAGUUUUGCCCUAAGCAGCCGUAAGAAUGGCAAACUACACAGAUUAGCAGCGGCAUAGGCACACAUAAAAUUUCUUCAGAAAUUUUCGCUUUCUAGUUUUUUUUUUAUUACUGUUACUGAAGGCUACUCGCUGAGGUGUUAGCUGAGGUUGGUUCAUAGACUGCAGACUGUUAGGCCGUUUCUAAAUACUCAAGUACAUGAGUCCGUUCUCGCGUUCCCGCUAGUCCGGACUUUGUAAGUUCACACAGGAGUCUUGACUUCCCGAGAACGCAGCGUGAUCGUGUAGCUGAUGACAUCACAGCUCUGGAGUCUUUAUUGCACAAUCACUACAUGACAGAAACACAAGCUUCAUCUCUCUUAAUAAACCUAGUACACAUGUAUGCCUGAAUAAAAACAAACAGGUAAGCUGUUAGAACACUUUUCUUUUUCUUUUUAUUUUAGUAAACAGUCAAACUUACAACAGACAGCUGCUGGGGUUUGGAAGAGAACUGAACAAAUGUUUAAAAUAUAAUCUGAUCAUUGUUGGAGCCGCCUUCAGGAUCUCCACGUAUUUAUAGCCUGCUUUUAGACUUGAUAGCAUUAGCAACCUGCUAACUGCAAAUAAUCAUGUGGAACUGAUUAUUUGCAGACAAAAAGAAAACAUAUUACUGAUACAGAAAUAGUUUUCUAUACGAGAUCAUUGCAAAAAGUGCAGCCUUACCUAAUGUCCACCCUACUGUUACUCAUUUUAUAUUAAGAUUUAAAAAUCUAGUUGGUAUUGGUAUGGCGAGUAACCUUCAGUAAUAGUAAUAAAUCAAAAAACGGCAUAGAAAGCGGGACAGACGGAGUGGUGUUCGCGUUCGAAUCAAAGCCCAUUUAAAAGCACUUGGAGUGGUUAAUUGCCGCUCCAUUUCAGAAGCUUCUUGGCUUUCUCAGUAUACCCUCAGACAGUGUCGCUAUCGAUGGAUUCACUAUGCCGGCCAGCUAGCCCC
Oreochromis aureus is the source of this 1417-nucleotide long non-coding RNA. NCBI's taxonomy places the organism in Eukaryota, Metazoa, Chordata, Actinopteri, Cichliformes, Cichlidae. The record is from Ensembl.